Molecule: long non-coding RNA, 1259 nt
Filed under: Capra hircus (goat)
Lineage: Eukaryota; Metazoa; Chordata; Mammalia; Artiodactyla; Bovidae
Description: lncRNA (ENSCHIG00010014220.1)
Source: RNAcentral
GCACAGAGUCAGACACGACUGAAGUGACUUAGCAGCAGCAGUAGCCUCAGAAAGAAGUCGGAUAUGGGAGUGGGAGCAUUUGGGUGUCACUCACUGACUUGGACUUGGCCCAGACAUUUACAGAUUUUGAGCCCCGGUUUCUCUGUUAUGAGAUAGAACCGUGUCCUUGCAGAGUCGCUGUGAAGAUGCAGGGGAGAUGCACAGGAGCAUGGCCGCCGCAUACGGCUGGGCAGGCUGUGUCCUGCAUGGGGGGCCGGGGGCGAGUCAGAGCUGGACCUGGCCAGCAUGCUGCUCUCCACCUCAUCCACACUGGACUAUGUCCAAAGCCCCUUUGGGCUGAGGGGCCCCGUACAUCAAGGGUCUCAUCUCAUUCCCAGCAUGUCGUCAAUGUAUAACAAGCAUUUGCGUCUUCUCUUGAAGAAAUUGUCCAUUUCCUCAGGUGGAGAGUCAUCUUUCAGAGUGUAAGGAACAUUCGCUUCCUCUCCCCUGGCAUCAUGAUCCACGGAACCGAAUGUAUUUCCUUCUUUUGCUGUCAUGGCCAGGAAGGUCAAGACUGUUAAUUCUCAAGCCUGCAUGAUUGUAUUCCCCUUUUCCCUUGUUCUAAUUUAUUAUGCUUUAUUUAUGUUGUACCAGUCGAUUAAGCACAUUCUUUGUGAUAAGCCAUCCCACUUUCUUUGGGGAAACCAUUCAGAAGUAAAUACAGUGUGUUUUUAGAGUUUGGCUCACGCACUUUGUGGCAUUUCUGGGUCUUUAAGUCCAGCAGACAGUCAGAGGCGAAGGGAGCAACCCUGGGAGCUGCAUGGGGUUGAGCCUGAGCCCCAGGGAUGUGUCUUCAGGGAUAUUUAAUCUCUGAGUGCAUGGGGAAGGCGCUCCAUGGUCUGGGAGAAUGCCCACCCCUGCCUCACUUAUUGAUGGCUUUAUUUUAUACAGCGAGCAAGAACUAUAGGGAUAACCUCAGCUCUAUGGGGGAGUCCCGGGAGUUUAGCGAAAUGCUUUCUGAGAGCUGAAUGAGUUCUCUGACUCUUGGGUCCCUCUGGUCCAGCCUGAUGCGGAUACCCUCAUGGGGCCUUUCAGUGUCUGACUGUUAUCAGACCUGCUCACCCUCCAGUGUAUUGGAUGGGCCAGGUGUUUGCCCAGGCUCCAGAGUGUGGUCCAUGAUGGCACACUGGGGUCCAUUGUUGGCACUCUGUUUAAAUACGGGUUGAGAUUUCAUUUUGAGUGGGGGGUCCUUAUCAAGUUGUGGGUAUUUGCCAUGUGUG